Molecule: ribosomal RNA, 305 nt
Filed under: uncultured bacterium
Lineage: Bacteria
Description: bacterial SSU rRNA
Rfam family: Bacterial small subunit ribosomal RNA
Source: RNAcentral
GCCUCCUUUACGCAGCAGUGGGGAAUAUUGCACAAUGGGGGAAACCCUGAUUCCUCUCCUCCUCUUUCCUUCUUCCUUCUUUCUUUAUGUAAACUUCUAUCAGCAGGUCCUACAAUGACGGUACCUGACUAAGAAGCCCCGGCUAACUACGUGCCAGCAGCCGCGGUAAUACGUAGGGGGCAAGCGUUAUCCGGAUUUACUGGGGUUCACUUGGGCGCAUACGUCUAUGCAAUCCAGUAUUGAAAGCCCGGGGCCCAACCCCGGGACUGCUCUUGGAACUGCGUGGCUGGAGUGCAGGAGGGGCA